GUCCUGUGAUGACCUGUGGCGGAAGGUAAACCGAAGGUGACUGCGGUUAACGUCCUCGAUGGGAAUGGCCACCUUCAAGAAUUGAAAAAGAAGUUUAAGCACUGUUAUCAAUAUCAUCCAGCGUAACAGCUUUAUUCAACUGGAGCUAUCAGCUCAGCGCCCUGCCCUGCGUGGAAGGAACUGAGACAGUCACAGGCCUGUUCUCCAGCAGCCUGCCUUCUGAGCAGCACUGGGAGAGAAAUAUGCAACUGCGAAGUUCUCACGGGAGAAGUCCUGAGCACACUGCAAGGCAUCCUGGGACCACAGUCUCAAGGGUCACAGAGGAAGGGACUUCGGGGCUGAGACCUGCAGGAAGUGAGGGAACUGCAGGCCUGUCCUCACCCAGGGGAGGUGGAGCCCCCAGACGCUGUGAUAUGAAAUUCCAGAUCAUGGGAGGGAGAGUUUGAAGAAGGAAGAACCACCAAUAGAAAGCGGUCCCCAAAGAGAGCCACAGGUCCUGGCGCUGGCUGCAUCUCCCUACUCACCUGGUUGAUGAGGCCCCUUUUUCUAAUUCACACAAAAGCACCCUGAGCUAACAGCAGCUCCAGACCUGCAGAAUAGGCGGAGCACAGAGGACUUUUAGGAUGGUGAAGCUACCCAGUGAGAGACUACAAUGGUGAAUAUACGGUAUUAUUCAUUUGUCGAAACCCACAGAAGGCACAACAUCAAGAAUGAACGCUAAUGUAAACUACAGACUUCACAGGGCGACGAUGUGUCAAUGCGGUUCACCAACUGUAAUCAAUGUACCAAUCUAUGGUGGAUACUGAUAAUGGGGAGGCAGGGGGAAGGAAGGAGAAA
Molecule: long non-coding RNA, 837 nt
Organism: Homo sapiens (human)
Lineage: Eukaryota; Metazoa; Chordata; Mammalia; Primates; Hominidae
Source: Ensembl